ACCACUUGCAGUCUGAUCAUGACAGAAACGAUCACCUUCCACAUUCCUGUGCUGGGAGGUUUCACUUCUGCUUCUCCAGCUGUAAACAUGCUUUCUUUCCCCUACUUCCUCUACCACCAACGCACAGCGAAGUAGCUGAUUCAUCGCAUCAGACACAAAACUCCAACUCAUUUCAGAAUUCGAAACUUCACCAGAGAAAGACCCCGUGGCGACCGACUGCUUUCCAAGAGCAAAGGUGUCUCCCAUCUCAAAAGCCACCACCACGCCUGGGACCUCUAGUCCUCGGGAAAGGCUGUCGCCAGGAGAUCCUGAAGGUGACGCCCCCUCCUGCCAGGACCUGUGGGAAGCCAGGUCCAGGACUCAGCAUUCUAGCCUCUGGCUGGGCUCCGCCCCUCAGCCAAUGUGAGGAGUCCACCAGCUGGCUCCCCUCUGCCUCUUCUUUGAGACUGAGGGAUUUCUAAAUACCCUGUAUGCCCACUGGGAUGUUGCAAGGCUGUACUGAUACUUGAAAUGUGCUUUGUAAACUGUAAAGAGCAAAUAGCUUUAAGCGCUCAGUGUUGGGUACCACUGUCCUUGGGCUACACUUGGAAAGAAACAGAGAAUGCUGAGCUUUAGCUGCACAGGGCAGCUGGGGAAGAAUGUGUGGCUUUUGUUUUCCCCAGUGAAUGAGAAGGCAGGAGCUAGUGCGCCUUCAUUACUUCCCCUCCUCUGAGCCCUGAGGGAGGGAAUUGAUCUCGUAGGCCUUUUUCCAUCUUUAAUAUCUGUGCCUACGUGAUUCCCUCUGUUGCACAGGAAUGAUUUCUCUGCCUUCUCAGUGUUUACACCUUUCAAAGCUUGUAAUCCUGUUCUGUCUCUGCUCUGCCACUUUGCAGCUGGGCAAGUUUCUCAGUAGACCACGAACCUCUGUGUGGGGGCACGAAAGAGAGAGGUGUUGAAUCAGAUCUGGGGGAGCGAUGCCUGUCUGCCUCCAUUAUCACUCUUAAGGAAGACCAAACAGGCAUUAAAAUAAUGGCGUGUCAAUGUAGGUACAUGAACUGCAACCAGCAGAGGACUCUGG
RNAcentral lists this long non-coding RNA (1057 nucleotides) under Zalophus californianus (California sea lion). RNAcentral's name for it is "lncRNA (ENSZCAG00015018688.1)". The record is from RNAcentral. Lineage: Eukaryota; Metazoa; Chordata; Mammalia; Carnivora; Otariidae.